CCCUUAGAUGUUCUGGGCCGCACGCGCGCUACACUGAUGCAUUCAACGAGCCUAUCCUUGACCGACAGGUCCGGGUAAUCUUUGAAUCUGCAUCGUGACGGGGAUAGAUUAUUGCAAUUAUUAAUCUUCAACGAGGAAUGCCUAGUAGGCGCAAGUCAUCAGCUUGCAUUGAUUACGUCCCUGCCCUUUGUACACACCGCCCGUCGCUCCUACCGAUUGAAUGAUCCGAUGAAUAUCAUGGAUUGAGGAUGCAAGCAGGUUCGCCUGUCUUCAUCUUCGAGAAGUGAAGUAAAUCUUAUCAUUUAGAGGAAGGAGAAGUCGUAACA
RNAcentral lists this ribosomal RNA (326 nucleotides) under uncultured eukaryote. RNAcentral's name for it is "partial 18S ribosomal RNA". It matches the Rfam family "Eukaryotic small subunit ribosomal RNA", at positions 1470 to 1796 of the family's 1831-position model. The record is from RNAcentral.